RNAcentral lists this ribosomal RNA (499 nucleotides) under uncultured bacterium. Its description in RNAcentral is "partial 16S ribosomal RNA". It matches the Rfam family "Bacterial small subunit ribosomal RNA", at positions 29 to 523 of the family's 1533-position model. The record is from RNAcentral.
AUUGAACGCUGGCGGAAUGCUUUACACAUGCAAGUCGAACGGCAGCACGGGGGCAACCCUGGUGGCGAGUGGCGAACGGGUGAGUAAUACAUCGGAACGUGCCCAGUCGUGGGGGAUAACGUAGCGAAAGCUACGCUAAUACCGCAUACGAACUCUGGUUGAAAGGGGGGAUCGCAAGACCUCGCGCGAUUGGAGCGGCCGAUGGCAGAUGAGGUAGUUGGGGGGGUAAAGGCAUACAAAGCCGACGAUCUGUAGCUGGUCUGAGAGGACGACCAGCCACACUGGGACUGAGACACGGCCCAGACUCCUACGGGAGGCAGCAGUGGGGAAUUUUGGACAAUGGGCGCAAGCCUGAUCCAGCCAUUCCGCGUGCAGGAUGAAGGCCCUCGGGUUGUAAACUGCUUUUGUACGGAACGAAACGGCGACCGCUAAUACCGGUUGCUAAUGACGGUACCGUAAGAAUAAGCACCGGCUAACUACGUGCCAGCAGCCGCAGUAA